Molecule: RNA transcript, 1442 nt
Organism: Vitis vinifera (wine grape)
Lineage: Eukaryota; Viridiplantae; Streptophyta; Magnoliopsida; Vitales; Vitaceae
Gene name: transcription factor bHLH118
Exons: 4
Source: RefSeq, a predicted model, not a curated record
GAUAUUGCAAAGAAUAUUGGCAUCUUUGGGCCAUCCAAGAUCUCAACCCUAACAAACAUAUCUCCUUCUUUAAUUUGCCCUCCAUGGCCAACCUCUGAGAGAGGGAGUUGAAUCAAUAGGAAGAAUCUUUCUGCAAUGUUUCCUUUACACCAAGGCAAUGAGCUGUUGUUCCGAAUCCCCUAUACACCCUCCAAACAAUAUAUAAUCCAACAAGAUAUGAUCCUGGAUCACGCUUCGCUGGAAGCCAGUAAUCUUAGCAACCAUAAAGGAAAAAGCCCGAAUCGAAAAUUAUUUGCUCAGGACAACAAUGAUGAGAUUUCUAAUGAUGGUAAGAAGAAGAAGAAGAAGAUUGUGCAUCGAGAUGUCGAACGACAAAGGAGGCAAGAUAUGGCUACCCUUUACACAUCACUUAGAUCGCUGCUCCCUCUUGAAUAUAUCAAGGGAAAACGUGCGAUAUCUGAACACAUGAACGGGGCUGUGAAUUAUAUCAAACACCUGCAGAAGAAGAUUAAAGAAUUGGGUGAAAAGAGGAAUGAGCUUAAAAGUUUGGCUAAUUCCAGCUCUAGGAACUCUUCAGGGAACUUCGUUACAGUGUGUCCUUGCUGGGGAGGAGUGGAGAUUGUGGUCAGUAGUGGUGGAGAAAAGGAAGGGAUGCCUUUGUCAAGAGCACUUGAAACACUGCUUGAAGAAGGACUUAGUGUUAUUAGCUGCAUCUCCACCAAAGUAAAUGGAAGGUUGCUGCACACUAUCCACUGCGAGGUGAGUGAUAUAACCAGCAUCGAUCUGCAUGGUCUGCAACAGCAACUCUCUGAUCAAGUGCUUCCUCAUCUGGACAAACUUCCAAGUAACACUGCUUUGAGGAAUAUCCCCACCAUCUGACCCUUUGAUAGGAAACAAUGAAGUGGUUUUAUUUAGCUCGACUAGCCAGCAAAUAUCUUUUCAUCCUCUUCCCAAAAUAUCUUUGGGGAAUGCUUGGAAACCUUCCAUAUGUACAGAAGAAUUUCCCUUUUGAGCCUUUCGAAGUGCCUGCCAUCACAUGUGCAAAAGAAGUUGACUUCAUUGCGGUGUUGCAUGUUUCCUCCACAUGAAGUACUUCAAGAUGAAUUGAUUAUUAAAACAAUGCACACACCACAUUUGCAACUUGGUUGUUAUGCCUGACUAGGAUAUAUAUGAUUCCCUUCAUGAGUAUUUAGGCAUGUUAAGCCUGUGUGUGUAAAAACCAGAUUAUCAAAAAUCACAUUCCUGCCAAUAGAUAACAGUGAAAAAUUUAGUGAUAUCAGAUAUGCAGAUAUAGUUGCUCUUAUUUUCUAUGUUUGGUUAUGUAGCUUUUGAUGGCAGUUCUCCAUUCAAUGUAUUGCAUACUUUCCGAAAUACAUGCCAGCUUGUCUGAGAUUUGUAUAUCUUAUGACAAUCAUUAAAUAAGAGAAUUAUAUCCUUACCCA